RNAcentral lists this small nuclear RNA (167 nucleotides) under Fukomys damarensis (Damara mole-rat). RNAcentral describes it as "U2 spliceosomal RNA". It matches the Rfam family "U2 spliceosomal RNA". From Rfam's summary of the family: U2 is a small nuclear RNA (snRNA) component of the spliceosome (involved in pre-mRNA splicing). Complementary binding between U2 snRNA (in an area lying towards the 5' end but 3' to hairpin I) and the branchpoint sequence (BPS) of the intron results the bulging out of an unpaired adenosine, on the BPS, which initiates a nucleophilic attack at the intronic 5' splice site, thus starting the first of two transesterification reactions that mediate splicing. The record is from Rfam by way of RNAcentral. Lineage: Eukaryota; Metazoa; Chordata; Mammalia; Rodentia; Bathyergidae.
AUCGCUUCUCGGCCUUUUGGCUAAGAUCAAGUGUAGAAAAAGCACUGAUGGGUCUACUCUCUUCCUCCUAAAUUUACUAACAUUCAGUGUCAAAUAGAAUGCAAUCUUUUUUUCAGACGUGGAAUCUUUUUUUAAAGUGCCACCAUUUUAUGAACAGCAGACCUUAA